This 406-nucleotide ribosomal RNA is filed under the name uncultured bacterium. Its description in RNAcentral is "partial 16S ribosomal RNA". It matches the Rfam family "Bacterial small subunit ribosomal RNA", at positions 30 to 526 of the family's 1533-position model. The record is from RNAcentral.
AUUGAACGCUGGCGGCAGGCCUAACACAUGCAAGUCGAACGAGUGGCGGACGGGUGAGUAAUGUCUGGGAAACUGCCCGAUGGAGGGGGAUAACUAAUGGACACGGUAGCUAAUACCGCAUACCAUCGGAUGUGCCCAGAGGGGAGUAGCUAGUAGGUGGGGUAACGGCUCACCUAGGCGACGAUCCCUAGCUGGUCUGAGAGGAUGACCCGGCACACUGGAACUGAGAUACGGUCCAGAAUCCUCCGGGAGGCAGCAGUGGGGAAUAUUGCACAAUUGGUGCAAGCCUGAUACAGCCAUGCCGCGUGUAUGAAGAAGGCCUUCGGGUUGUAAAGUACUUUCAGCGAGGAGGCGUUACUCGAAGAAGAAGCACCGGCUAACUCCGUGCCAGCAGCCGCGGUAAUUC